RNAcentral lists this ribosomal RNA (324 nucleotides) under uncultured eukaryote. Its description in RNAcentral is "partial 18S ribosomal RNA". It matches the Rfam family "Eukaryotic small subunit ribosomal RNA", at positions 1470 to 1796 of the family's 1831-position model. The record is from RNAcentral.
CCCUUAGAUGUUCUGGGCUGCACGCGCGCUACACUGAAGCUAUCAACACGUUUUCCCUCCCUGAGAAGGGCGGGUAACCUUUUGAAUCAGCUUCGUGGUAGGGAUCGGGGCUUGCAAUUGUUCCCCGUGAACCAGGAGUUCCUAGUAGACGCGAGUCAUAAGCUCGCAUCGAUUAAGUCCCUGCCCUUUGUACACACCGCCCGUCGCUACUACCGAUUGAACGUUUUAGUGAGGCAUUUGGACCGACGCAUCUCAGUUUAACCGCUGGUUUGUGUUGGAAAGACUUCCAAACUUGAGCGUUUAGAGGAAGUAAAAGUCGUAACA